Molecule: ribosomal RNA, 803 nt
Filed under: Protoparmelia aff. badia A GS-2015
Lineage: Eukaryota; Fungi; Ascomycota; Lecanoromycetes; Lecanorales; Parmeliaceae
Description: eukaryotic LSU rRNA
Rfam family: 5.8S ribosomal RNA (bases 481-634)
Source: RNAcentral
GAAGUAAAAGUCGUAACAAGGUUUCCGUAGGUGAAGGUUCGCCUACCGAAAUUCCCCUGCAGCGACUCUAAAGAACUGUUCCAGUCACCCUAAGUAGAUGGGGUUGGCAACGCUAUCAGUCUGCCCUGGGAGCCCCCCGUUCUGGGGGUCGACCAGCAGCUCAGGGAACCCCUGAGUCCACAGAUCAAACGCCAGCGGCCACUUCCUAUGUGGUUUAGAUAUGACCGGCCCCAGCCGCUGACCGGCUGGGAAACUAUUGCGGAACCUGCGGAAGGAUCAUUACCGAGAGGGGGCCUCGUGCUCCAGGGGUUUCGGCCCCGUACUCUUCACCCUUUGCCUACCUACCUUUGUUGCUUUGGCGGGCCUCGGGGUAUAUCCCGCGCCGGCCAGGGCUUUGCCGCCUCGGCUUGUGAGCGCCCGUCGGGGGCCCAUUCAAUCCUGUUUUAUCGGUGACGUCCGAGUGAAAACACAAUCGUUAAAAACUUUCAACAACGGAUCUCUUGGUUCCAGCAUCGAUGAAGAACGCAGCGAAAUGCGAUAAGUAAUGUGAAUUGCAGAAUUCAGUGAAUCAUCGAAUCUUUGAACGCACAUUGCGCCCCUUGGUAUUCCGGGGGGCAUGCCUGUUCGAGCGUCAUUGCACCCCUCAAGCGCAGCUUGGUAUUGAGCCUUCGCCCCCGCGGCGGGCUCGAAAAGUAUUGGCGGUUCGGCGUAGACUUCAAGUGUAGUAAACUUCUCCCACUCUGGAAGUCGCGUCGUGGCCCGCCAGAUAACCCCCAUGAUUUCCAUUAUAGACCUCGGAUCGG